AUUUCUCCAGCAAAUUUGAGGAAGCAUGAUAUAUUUGAAUUAACACCAAGGGUGAUAUUUCUUUUGUUCUUAGCAGACUUGGCUUCAUUUUGGUCUUGAGAUAAAAUGGCCAGCAUAAAUGCUGUUUAUAUUCACGUUUUCCUAGGUGUGUGUGUGCAGGCCACAGCAGCAUGCCCUUGGUGUAGUCAGUGCCGAAAGGGGUCUGUUCCUUCUUG
This 215-nucleotide long non-coding RNA is filed under the name Homo sapiens (human). Its description in RNAcentral is "non-protein coding lnc-C6orf201-6:1". The record is from RNAcentral. Lineage: Eukaryota; Metazoa; Chordata; Mammalia; Primates; Hominidae.